GACGAACGCUGGCGGCGUGCCUAAUACAUGCAAGUCGAACGCACUCUCGUUUAGAUUGAAGGAGCUUGCUCCUGAUUGAUAAACAUUUGAGUGAGUGGCGGACGGGUGAGUAACACGUGGGUAACCUGCCCUAAAGUGGGGGAUAACAUUUGGAAACAGAUGCUAAUACCGCAUAAAACCUAACACCGCAUGGUGUAGGGUUGAAAGAUGGUUUCGGCUAUCACUUUAGGAUGGACCCGCGGUGCAUUAGUUAGUUGGUGAGGUAAAGGCUCACCAAGACCGUGAUGCAUAGCCGACCUGAGAGGGUAAUCGGCCACACUGGGACUGAGACACGGCCCAGACUCCUACGGGAGGCAGCAGUAGGGAAUCUUCCACAAUGGACGAAAGUCUGAUGGAGCAACGCCGCGUGAGUGAAGAAGGUUUUCGGAUCGUAAAACUCUGUUGUUGGAGAAGAAUGUAUCUGAUAGUAACUGAUCAGGUAGUGACGGUAUCCAA
This 495-nucleotide ribosomal RNA is filed under the name uncultured bacterium. RNAcentral describes it as "bacterial SSU rRNA". It matches the Rfam family "Bacterial small subunit ribosomal RNA", at positions 28 to 482 of the family's 1533-position model. The record is from RNAcentral.